This 668-nucleotide long non-coding RNA is filed under the name Homo sapiens (human). RNAcentral describes it as "HSALNT0300512". Lineage: Eukaryota; Metazoa; Chordata; Mammalia; Primates; Hominidae. The record is from RNAcentral.
AAAAAAGUCAAUGUCAUAAAAGACAAAGAAAGGCUGAAGAAGUGAUUCAGCCCGUGAUCCUUGACUGGAUCCUGGGUGAAAGCAAAAGCAGCUCUAAAGGACACUUUGCAGACUAAAUGUUAGCUAACACCAUUGUAUCAGUGAGAAAGUGCAGAGUGUGGUGAGUCCAUUGAGGCUCUGUAGAAGAAAGUCCUUGUUCUUUUUGUUUGUUUGUUUUUGAGACGGCGUCUCACCCCAUUGCCCAGGUUGGAGUACAAUGGCACAAUCUUGGCUCACUGCAAACCUCCACCUCCCGGGUUCAAGCGAUUCUCCUGCCUCAGCCUCCCGAGUAGCUGGGAUUACGGGUGCAGGACAGAAAAUCAUUCCUCUGCUCACCUGAGAGAAAUGCUUAUCUGAUUGCUUCCUCAGACCUACUGUGUAUGUAAAAAUGAAGAUUCACUGAGCCAGACUAGAUUGUGAAUUCACUGAAAGGCUGAUCAAGGACUCAAAAGAAUGCAAGCUUUUGUCUCUUAUCUACCUAUGACCUGGAAGCCCCCCUCUUCGAGUUGUCCUGUGUUACUGGAUGGAACCAAAGUAUAUCUUACAUAUAUUAAUUGAUGUCUCAGGUCUCCCUAAAAUGCACAAAAGCAAGCUGUACCCCAGCCACCUUGGGGACGUGUCGUCAGGAC